Molecule: ribosomal RNA, 261 nt
Filed under: uncultured bacterium
Lineage: Bacteria
Description: partial 16S ribosomal RNA
Source: RNAcentral
CUGCUGCCUCCCGUAGGAGUUUGGGCCGUGUCUCAGUCCCAAUGUGGCCGUCCACCCUCUCAGGCCGGCUACUGAUCGUCGCCUUGGUGGGCCGUUACCCCGCCAACAAGCUAAUCAGACGCGGGUCCAUCUUACACCACCGGAGUUUUUCACACAAAUCCAUGCGGCUUCGUGCGCUUAUGCGGUAUUAGCACCUAUUCUAAGUGUUAUCCCCAGUGUAAGGCAGGUUACCCACGCGUUACUCACCGUCCGCCACUAAGA